CCUACGGGUGGCAGCAGUGAGGAAUAUUGGUCAAUGGCCGUAAGGCUGAACCAGCGAAGCCGCGUGAGUGAAGAAGUAUCUAUGUUUUUUAAACUUCAUUUAUAGGGGAAUAAAGGUAUCCACGUGUGGAUAUUUGCAUGUACCCUAUGAAUAAGCAUCGGCUAGCUCCGUUCCAGCAGCCGCGGUAAUACGGAGGAUGCGAGCGUUAUCCGGAUUUAUGGGGUGUAAAGGGAGCGUCGACGGCGAUGCAAGGCAGGGGUGAAAGGCCGGGGCACAACCCCGGGACUGCCCUUGAAACUGUGCGGCUAGAGUGCGGGAGGGGCAGGCGGAAUUCCUGGGGGAGCGGUGAAAUGCGUAGAUAUCAGGAGGAACACCAGCGGCGAAGGCGGCUUGCUGGACCGUGACUGACGUUGAGGCUCGAAAGCGUGGGGAGCGAACAGGAUUAGAUACCCCUGUAGUC
This 460-nucleotide ribosomal RNA is filed under the name uncultured bacterium. RNAcentral describes it as "partial 16S ribosomal RNA". It matches the Rfam family "Bacterial small subunit ribosomal RNA", at positions 338 to 795 of the family's 1533-position model. The record is from RNAcentral.